GAUGAAGAACGCAGCGAAAUGCGAUAAGUAAUGUGAAUUGCAGAAUUCAGUGAAUCAUCGAAUCUUUGAACGCACCUUGCACUCCUUGGUAUUCCGAGGAGUAUGCCUGUUUGAGUCUCAUGGUAUUCUCAACCCCUAAAUUUUUGUAAUGAAGGUUUAGCGGGCUUGGACUUGGAGGUUGUGUCGGCCCUUGUCGGUCGACUCCUCUGAAAUGCAUUAGCGUGAAUCUUACGGAUCGCCUUCAGUGUGAUAAUUAUCUGCGCUGUGGUGUUGAAGUAUUUAUGGUGUUCAUGCUUCGAACCGUCUCCUUGCCGAGACAAUCAUUUGACAAUCUGAGCUCAAAUCAGGUAGGACUACCCGCUGAACUUAAGCAUAUCAAUAAGCGGAGGA
RNAcentral lists this unclassified non-coding RNA (390 nucleotides) under soil metagenome. Its description in RNAcentral is "partial contains 5.8S ribosomal RNA, internal transcribed spacer 2, and large subunit ribosomal RNA". The stretch from base 1 to 120 matches the Rfam family "5.8S ribosomal RNA", at positions 35 to 154 of the family's 154-position model. The record is from RNAcentral.